RNAcentral lists this long non-coding RNA (624 nucleotides) under Elaeis guineensis (African oil palm). RNAcentral describes it as "long non-coding RNA (EGUI_LNC052668)". The record is from RNAcentral. Lineage: Eukaryota; Viridiplantae; Streptophyta; Magnoliopsida; Arecales; Arecaceae.
AAAUUAAAUUGAUGAUCGGAUCACUUACCUAAUGUGCUAGACUCCUUCUUUAGAUCGGAUUUGAAGAUGUCCACAGGUUCUGUUGAAGCCACACACACGUCCGACCUCUACGAGUAUCCACAUAGGGCUGAAACAGAUCAAAGUAUCCAAGAUCACCGAGGUGCUAGCUCUCUUGCAGAUCUCGCUUCUUCAGAUUUAGAUAUAAUCUCCUUCUUCGAUUGCCAUAGAAGAAGACCUGAAGAUAGAUCUACACAUGAACUCCUUUUGCGCAGGGUUGGAGGAAAUAGAAGGUGAUAGGAGAACUCCUUCUCCUUCUCUAUCGCUGAUCUCUCUCUCUCUCCUUUUUAGAGUGACUGACCAAAAGGAGAUGGGGUGUCUGAAUCUAGGUGGGAGCAAGAGAAAGUGGGGCGGCAACACAAGAUGAAUAAGUGAUCAAUCUACUCACACACCCAAGACCUAUCCCUUCUUAUAAUUGGCAGCCAAGGGGGUUAGAAUAGAGUUUGGGAUGAACUUGGACUCUUAUCUGAUAAGAGUUUAAGUUCAAAAUCAGCCUUAUCUUAUCUCGAAAGAAAGAGGAGAUAGAGGUUAUCAGGAGGGGAUGCUAACUUUGAAUCUGUGCCCCCU